AACCCAUGGUGAGGGCACUUUAUUAGUAAUUCUUUGUAUCUUUCCCAUGCAUCGUAAACUGUUUCUAAGUCUAUCUAUGCAAACGAAGAGAUAUCAUUACGUAAUUU
This is a non-coding RNA of Gossypium arboreum, 107 nucleotides long. The record is from Rfam. NCBI's taxonomy places the organism in Eukaryota, Viridiplantae, Streptophyta, Magnoliopsida, Malvales, Malvaceae.